Molecule: ribosomal RNA, 254 nt
Filed under: uncultured bacterium
Lineage: Bacteria
Description: partial 16S ribosomal RNA
Rfam family: Bacterial small subunit ribosomal RNA
Source: RNAcentral
UACGUAGGGGCCUAGCGUUGUCCGGAAUUAUUGGGCGUAAAGAGCUCGUAGGCGGUUCGGCAAGUUGGAUGUGAAAUCUCCACGCUUAACGUGGAGGGGCCAUUCGAAACUGCUGUGACUCGAGUCCGGUAGGGGAGUGUGGAAUUCCCGGUGUAGCGGUGAAAUGCGCAGAUAUCGGGAGGAACACCAGUAGCGAAGGCGGCACUCUGGGCCGGUACUGACGCUGAGGAGCGAAAGCGUGGGGAGCGAACAGG